UGGGGAAUAUUGCACAAUGGGCGCAAGCCUGAUGCAGCCAUGCCGCGUGUAUGAAGAAGGCCUUAGGGUUGUAAAGUACUUUCAGCGGGGAGGAAGGUGUUGAGGUUAAUAACCUCAGCAAUUGACGUUACCCGCAGAAGAAGCACCGGCCAACUCCGUGCCAGCAGCCGCGGCAAUACGGAGGGUGCAAGCGUUAAUCGGAAUUACUGGGCGUAAAGCGCACGCAGGCGGUCUGUCAAGUCGGAUGUGAAAUCCCCGGGCUCAACCUGGGAACUGCAUUCGAAACUGGCAGGCUAGAGUCUUGUAGAGGGGGGUAGAAUUCCAGGUGUAGCGGUGAAAUGCGUAGAGAUCUGGAGGAAUACCGGUGGCGAAGGCGGCCCCCUGGACAAAGACUGACGCUCAGGUGCGAAAGCGUGGGGAGCAAACA
RNAcentral lists this ribosomal RNA (427 nucleotides) under uncultured bacterium. RNAcentral's name for it is "partial 16S ribosomal RNA". It matches the Rfam family "Bacterial small subunit ribosomal RNA", at positions 355 to 774 of the family's 1533-position model. The record is from RNAcentral.